Molecule: ribosomal RNA, 523 nt
Filed under: uncultured bacterium
Lineage: Bacteria
Description: bacterial SSU rRNA
Rfam family: Bacterial small subunit ribosomal RNA
Source: RNAcentral
AGCUGAUCCAGCGAUGCCGCGUGUGUGAAGAAGGCCUGCGGNUUGUAAAGCACUUNCAGUANGGAANNAAAGCCGAGUGCUAAUAUNNCUCGGUCUUGACGUUACUUACAGAAGAAGCACCGGCUAACUCCGUGCCAGCAGCCGCGGUAAUACGGAGGGUGCGAGCGUUAAUCGGAAUUACUGGGCGUAAAGGGCGCGUAGGCGGUUUGGUAAGUCGGGUGUGAAAGCCCCGGGCUCAACCUGGGAAUUGCAUUCGAUACUGCCUGGCUAGAGUAUGGUAGAGGGAAGCGGAAUUCCGGGUGUAGCGGUGAAAUGCGUAGAUAUCCGGAGGAACACCAGUGGCGAAGGCGGCUUCCUGGACCAAUACUGACGCUGAGGCGCGAAAGCGUGGGGAUCAAACAGGAUUAGAUACCCUGGUAGUCCACGCCCUAAACGAUGAGAACUAGCCGUUGGAGGAGCUUUGUCCUUUAGUGGCGCAGCUAACGCGAUAAGUUCUCCGCCUGGGGAGUACGGCCGCAAGGUU